UAGGGAAUAUUGCACAAUGGAGGAAACUCUGAUGCAGCGACGCCGCGUGAGUGAUGAAGGCCUUCGGGUUGUAAAGCUCUGUCGCACAGGAAUAAGAAAGUGAAUGUACUGUGCAAGAAAGGAUCGGCUAACUUCGUGCCAGCAGCCGCGGUAAGACGAGGGAUCCUAGCGUUGUUCGGAAUCAUUGGGCGUAAAGCGGGUGCAUGUUGCUCGAUAAGUCAGGUGUGAAAUCCCAGGGCUCAACCCUGGA
This 250-nucleotide ribosomal RNA is filed under the name uncultured bacterium. RNAcentral describes it as "partial 16S ribosomal RNA". It matches the Rfam family "Bacterial small subunit ribosomal RNA", at positions 355 to 619 of the family's 1533-position model. The record is from RNAcentral.